UCCCUCUUCUCCUCCCCUCCCCUCUCCCAGGUAGUGACAGGGACAUGUAUGGCAUUCCCCAUGCUGUAGACUGUGCCUCCUUCACCCGGCCCCCCUUGAAUGAUGGAUCCCCCCCACGGUCCUGGAUCUAGGAGCCGGGGGUGAGGGAGGGCCUGAAGCUUUGCUUGAAGCGAAGCAGAUGGUGCUCUUGGCUCAACGGAGGUGGCCGAAGGACAUGACCUUCCUCCGGCUUUUCUUCUGGAAAGGAAGUCUUUGGAAGUUUGUGGCAACUGAAUAAAUCUUGUCCCUUUGAUAAGCAGGGUCCCGUUCAGCUCCCUAUGUGGAGAAAGCUCCACACUUCCUCUGAUUGUUCCCGUUUAUUGAAUUUCAGUGUGUGAGACAUGAUAACCUCGUUCCUGGGGAGUUCAGAGAGGAAGUGGAGGGGCUGGCCUGGCUUACGCCGGACAGCGCAUGAGGAGCAGCGCAGGCCGGGUUAUUCUUGGAAGUUAUUUUGAUCUGCUGGGCCCCGAUCAGCUCAUGUUUCUGUGCCCAGCCUAGGGCCACGUAAUGGGAGAAUGAGGUGUUUCAUUAUAAUAAUAGACUCAGAGCUCAUGGGGGCGGCGGCUCUUUGAGGGUAUUGGGACCCCGUUGGCUGGGCGUCCCUUGUCCCUCCCAAGCACCCUUGGUGCCAUCCAAGGGAAAGUGCCCCUGCUGGGGCCUGGUGGGAGCAGAGGAGGCGGGGAGAGAGCGGGGCUGCGCUGCUUCUGGAGGCUCCCCGGGAACUAAAGCUUCCUCUGCCUGCUCUAGGGAGCAGAAGUGACUCACGAGGAGACUGACUCAUGAGAUCAAUGGGCGGGAGAGCUGGGGAGGCAGCUUUCAGCUUAAUGUAAGGAAGAAUGUUCUGCUAAUUAAAGCUGUUUAUGAAAUGAAACUUACUGCCCUGUGAAAUAGGAGCUCCUGACACGUGAGAGCUUAUACCCCGUCUCUCAGGAGCCUCCCACCCAGGCCCCGUUUUUCUAUAUAGAUUUUUAAAUUUAAGUAAUUUCUCCUUCUUAUGGCUGUUGUGUUACUUUGCUAGGGCUGCGGGAACGAUGUAGCACAGACUGGGGGCUCAAAGCACAGCAAUUUAUCAUCUCACAGUUCUGGAGGCUGGAAGUCCAAGAUCGAGGUGUGGGCAGGGUCGGUUCCCGCUGAAGAUGUGAGGGAGAAUCUGUUCUUGCCUCUCCCCUGGCUCCCGGGGAACAAAUCUACAAUGAAACACAGAUUUUGUAUGUAUAUUUGCUGAUUUCUUGACUAAUGCAUACACUUGUAUAACCGAAACCUGUCUCAAGAUAUAGAACAUUCUCGUCACCCAUAAAGUUCCCGUGUGCCCCUUUGCAGUCGGUCCCAGCCCACCCAGAGGCAUCCAGCACAUCAAUUGAAUUUCUUGCUCAUCCUUCAGUGAAGACUAUCAAAGAUCCGUGGAUAGGAGGUGAUCUUUGAGAAGAAGCAGAAUGAUAUGUUUUCAUCUUGUUAUUCCUGAUUCCCAUUCUCUGGGUUUCUGGUGCCAUUUUGGUCUGAACUGGGAUGCGCGUAUAUCCCAGUCUUUCAUCUGGCAACGGUAUUCUCCCGGUCCAUGAACUCAGCUCGUGGCUGUGAAGUGACUGCCAUAACACCUCACCACCAAGGGCCACCGCAAAGGACAUGUCUAUGAGACACAUUUACAUUUCACACAGAUAACUUCUAUGCAGUGGACAUGGUCCGGCAGCGGACAUGUACCAUGUAGGAUUUUAUGAAAUAUUGUCUUAGCACUUUUGGAAUUUCUAGACUGUGUAGAAGAUUUGUUCUUUUCCUUUAUUGAGUUACUACUAUUACAGGAAAAAAGAAAAAAUCAAAAGCAAAGCCGGAAAUCAGGACAAGUCUGAGCAAGGUCUUCCCAAGUUGGUGCUGCAGUUGGCCUUGACGCAUUGCUUCACCACACUGAAGAGCACUUUUGGUCGUGACACCAACAGCCGUUAUUAUGACAUGAUGUUCUCUGUGUAGACUGAACACUCUAUUAGGCGCUGCAGGGUAUGCAAUAUAAAAAAAAAAAAGGCUCUUGCCUUUGGGGAGCUUGUCAUCAAGUUGGGGAAGCCUACCUGGCCGUCCUCUUGGAGAAUACAAUGAUCACGUACACCUGCCAUGGAAAUAAGUCCGGGCUUGUGCACCCUGACCUCAGAGCCUCAGUGCAGUGGGCAUCUCCCUUACCACUUAGAUUGCCACUGGAACCUGUGUCCCAAGAGAACUCUUGUCCAUGUCAGACAUGCGAGUCAUUUUAUCUUGGAGACAUGAAGAGCAGUAAAAGAGUGGAUGGAUGGCCAUGGGGAGACUCAGGAUCCUGAGUUCCAUUCAAAUUUGGAUUUUUCUGACUUUCAUGUGCUUUGACAAACACUCUUAGAUGUUAAAUGUGUAGAUGUUCUUAUAUGAACAGUAAUAGACAAAGGAGUUAUUUGGAAAUGAAAGCAUUAUUUAAGGCAUCAGAAAUAUAAAACACACAAUUGCUUUCUUCAGGAUGUUUAUUCAACAUACGUGAAGUAUUAUUCAUUUGGUGCCAACAGAUGAAAUAAUUUAUGAAAUCUACCUGUACUUUCAUGAAUAAGAAAAUAAAUAGGCACGAUUUCGGGAAAAGAAGCGCUUCUGUCAAUUUUGCACAAGUCGUAGCUGAAGCAGCAGCUUUGCAUCCUAAGAGGGACGAGCAGGAUCAUGCAACAGAGAGACAGUGGGUCCGCAGGAAGGAAAGCGUCGGUGCCCACCCCCACCUGUCCUCCUGAAAUUGCUCACGACUUGGGUUCUUUCAAAAGCCAGGGAACUAAACAUUCUUAGAGAAAACACUAGCUUGGGAAACUCAAAAACCACCUGAGUGAAUCAGGAAAUGAUAAGGGAUGACUCAAGUGAUGUCCAGACUAUCGUUACCCAUCUUUCUUCACACUAAAUUCUAACUUUUGGAAGCUCCCAUGUCAUGAUGCAACUGGCUGUGCUCAGUAACAACAAUGGUUCAUGUUACCUCUGAGGUGUACAAUAGCACUUUAAGUAACUGUAGAAAUUUGCAAAUACCUCAGACAAAUAAACGAUGAUUAACCUGAUGGAACAACAUUCCCUGUAGCCUUUGGCAGCACCAGACAGUGAGCCAGGCAGACCGAUUCUCUCAGCGCACCUAAGGCUAAAUUACAGUCAUAAAAACCAAGGCUUUGAAAUAAAUUGCUGCUGACGCAUCAUGGUUUGGCUACACCCUCCCUUGGUCUACCACUGUUUCUCUGGCCAUUUGUGUGUGGAGUCUGGUGUGUUGUCAAGUGUGGCCGCUUUGCAUGCACGGUAUUUGAACGUGAAUCCAGGCCACGUCCAGCCUGGAGCUUUUCUCAGUGUGAGAAUGCCCAUCGAUAGAAAGUGACUUGCAGAGAGCACAUUUGUCACCCCAUGUCCCUAGGUGAAAUGGCUGGUGAGUGUAGCCUGCAGCAAGAACUCUUGUCCUAUGGUGCAUGCCCACUGGGGCUGGACGGGCUCCCUGAAGCAACACUGAGUGCUGUGAAAAAAAAAUGGUAAAAGAAGAAGCCAAAUCUUUCUUUUCUGGAUCAGAUAAGGCGUUUUUUUUUUUUUUU
Molecule: non-coding RNA, 3593 nt
Organism: Equus caballus (horse)
Lineage: Eukaryota; Metazoa; Chordata; Mammalia; Perissodactyla; Equidae
Source: RefSeq, a predicted model, not a curated record